Molecule: ribosomal RNA, 253 nt
Filed under: uncultured bacterium
Lineage: Bacteria
Description: partial 16S ribosomal RNA
Rfam family: Bacterial small subunit ribosomal RNA
Source: RNAcentral
GACGGAGGGUGCUAGCGUUGUUCGGAAUCACUGGGCGUAAAGGGCGCGUAGGCGGCCUCAGGUGUCGGAUGUGAAAGCCCGGGGCUCAACCCCGGAGGUGCAUCCGAAACUCUGGGGCUGGAGGUCGGAAGAGGAGGGUGGAAUACCCAGUGUAGAGGUGAAAUUCGUAGAUAUUGGGUGGAACACCCGUGGCGAAGGCGGCUGGCUGGAUCGCAACUGACGCUGAGGAACGAAAGCUAGGGGAGCAAACAGG